RNAcentral lists this ribosomal RNA (253 nucleotides) under uncultured bacterium. RNAcentral describes it as "partial 16S ribosomal RNA". It matches the Rfam family "Bacterial small subunit ribosomal RNA", at positions 524 to 776 of the family's 1533-position model. The record is from RNAcentral. RNAcentral also lists the same sequence under 1 other name.
UACGGAGGGUGCAAGCGUUAUCCGGAUUCACUGGGUUUAAAGGGUGCGUAGGUGGGUCUGUAAGUCCGUGGUGAAAUCUCCAAGCUUAACUUGGAAACUGCCAUGGAUACUAUAGGUCUUGAAUACCGUGGAGGUGAGCGGAAUAUGUCAUGUAGCGGUGAAAUGCUUAGAUAUGACAUAGAACACCAAUUGCGAAGGCAGCUCACUACACGAAUAUUGACACUGAGGCACGAAAGCGUGGGGAUCAAACAGG